UUACGCUGUUAUCCUAAGGUAAUUUUUUCUUUUAAUCAAUAAAAUUGGAUCAUUUAAUCACUUAUUAAUGUAAACUAUUAAAAAAAGUUAAUUAAAUUUUUUUAUCACCCCAACAAAAUAAUUUAAAAUUAUAAAAAUAUAAAAAUAAAAAUAUUUACAAAAUAAAUUAUAAAACUCUAUAGGGUCUUCUCGUCUUUUUAAAUAAUUUUAACUUUUUAAUUAAAAAAUUAAAUUCAAUUUUUUUUUAUAAAAGAGACAGUUUAUAUUUCAUCCAAUCUUUCAUACAAGUCACCAAUUAAAAGACUAAUGAUUAUGCUACCUUUGUACAGUCAAUAUACUGCAGCCCUUUAAUAAAUAUAUCAGUGGGCUGAUUAGACUUUAAAUUAUUAACCAAAAAGACAUGUUUUUGUUUCAACAGGUG
This 421-nucleotide ribosomal RNA is filed under the name Bombyx mandarina (wild silkworm). RNAcentral's name for it is "partial 16S rRNA". Lineage: Eukaryota; Metazoa; Arthropoda; Insecta; Lepidoptera; Bombycidae. The record is from RNAcentral.